This 253-nucleotide ribosomal RNA is filed under the name uncultured bacterium. RNAcentral's name for it is "partial 16S ribosomal RNA". It matches the Rfam family "Bacterial small subunit ribosomal RNA", at positions 524 to 776 of the family's 1533-position model. The record is from RNAcentral.
UACAGAGGGUGCAAGCGUUAAUCGGAAUUACUGGGCGUAAAGCGAGCGUAGUCGGUUAUUUAAGUCGGAUGUGAAAUCCCCGGGCUCAACCCGGGAACUGCGUCCGAGACUGGAAGGCUCGAAUCCGGGAGAGGGAUGUGGAAUUCCAGGUGUAGCGGUGAAAUGCGUAGAUAUCUGGAGGAACAUCGGUGGCGAAGGCGGCAUCCUGGACCGGUAUUGACGCUGAGGCGCGAAAGCCAGGGGAGCAAACGGG